Molecule: unclassified non-coding RNA, 284 nt
Filed under: fungal sp.
Lineage: Eukaryota; Fungi
Description: partial internal transcribed spacer region
Rfam family: Eukaryotic small subunit ribosomal RNA (bases 1-46)
Source: RNAcentral
AAGUCGUAACAAGGUCUCCGUAGGUGAACCUGCGGAGGGAUCAUUUGAGAGGUACGCGAUGAGCGUAUUGAAUGAGGAGAGAGGAGGGGGUGGUAUGCGGUCAUUUCUCUGAAAGGGGGAAUGGUUGUGUAUGUGUGGUUGUGUCGGAUCUUUGGGUAUCAGAGAUAGGGCAUAACCGUAUGUAAACUAGUGUAGCUGGAUGGUGUCAUGAUCAAGGUCAUGAUAUAUGGAAAAGGAGUACAAUUAAAGUACGAAAACUUUUAGCAAUGGAUCUCUUGGUUCUC